CUGGAUAAUUGCUGACGUAAGUUAGAGGAAAGUCCAUGCUCGCACAGGCUGAGAUGCCUGUAGUGAUUGCGCUAACGGAAAAAAUAACGUUAGGCACGCAGGAGUGCGUGACGGCAGAGUAAGACCUAAGGGAAACUAUGGUGGAGCUCUUGAAAGUGCCACAGUGACGAAGUUUUAUGGAAACAUAAAAGUGGAACGCGGUAAACCCCACAAGCGAGAAACCCAAAUUUGGUAGGGGAAAUCAAUCGAGGGAAUUUAACUGAGAUUGGUAAGCAUUGCUUAGAUAAAUAAUUAUCCUAGACAAAACAUGGCUUAUAG
This 318-nucleotide RNase P RNA is filed under the name bovine gut metagenome. RNAcentral's name for it is "Bacterial RNase P class B". It matches the Rfam family "Bacterial RNase P class B". Rfam says of the family: Ribonuclease P (RNase P) is a ubiquitous endoribonuclease, found in archaea, bacteria and eukarya as well as chloroplasts and mitochondria. Its best characterised activity is the generation of mature 5'-ends of tRNAs by cleaving the 5'-leader elements of precursor-tRNAs. The record is from RNAcentral.